UCUGGUUGAUCCUGCCGGAGGCCAUUGCUAUUGGGAUCCGAUUUAGCCAUGCUAGUUGUACGAGUUCAGACUCGUAGCGAAUAGCUCAGUAACACGUGGCCAAACUACCCUUCGGAGCGCGAUAACCUCGGGAAACUGAGGCUAAUAGCGCAUCCCACACUCAGCCUGGAAUGGCGAGUGUGGCAAACGCUCCGGCGCCGAAGGAUGUGGCUGCGGCCGAUUAGGUAGACGGUGGGGUAACGGCCCACCGUGCCGAUAAUCGGUACGGGUCAUGAGAGUGAGAACCCGGAGACGGAAUCUGAGACAAGAUUCCGGGCCCUACGGGGCGCAGCAGGCGCGAAACCUUUACACUGCACGCCAGUGCGAUAAGGGGAUCCCAAGUGCACAGGCAUAGAGCCUGUGCUUUUGUCCACCGUAGGGAGGUGGACGAAUAAGGGCUGGGCAAGACCGGUGCCAGCCGCCGCGGUAAUACCGGCAGCCCGAGUGAUGGCCGAUCUUAUUGGGCCUAAAGCGUCCGUAGCUGGCCGCGCAAGUCCAUCGGGAAAUCUCCCCGCUCAACGGGGAGCCGCCCGGUGGAAACUGCGUGGCUUGGGACCGGAAGGCGCGACGGGUACGUCCGGGGUAGGAGUGAAAUCCCGUAAUCCUGGACGGACCGCCGAUGGCGAAAGCACGUCGCGAGAACGGAUCCGACAGUGAGGGACGAAAGCCAGGGUCUCGAACCGGAUUANAUACCCGGGUAGUCCUGGCCGUAAACGAUGCCUGUUAGGUGUGGCUCCCACUACNAGUGGGUGCUGUGCCGUANGGAANCCGCUAAACAGGCCGCCUGGG
This 828-nucleotide ribosomal RNA is filed under the name uncultured archaeon. RNAcentral describes it as "bacterial SSU rRNA". It matches the Rfam family "Archaeal small subunit ribosomal RNA", at positions 1 to 832 of the family's 1478-position model. The record is from RNAcentral.